Long non-coding RNA from Mesocricetus auratus (golden hamster), 547 nucleotides. RefSeq lists it as uncharacterized. The transcript has 2 exons. NCBI's taxonomy places the organism in Eukaryota, Metazoa, Chordata, Mammalia, Rodentia, Cricetidae. The record is from RefSeq and is a predicted model, not a curated record.
AUGGCUGAGCAGAAAACAGUCACUUCCCCUUUGCUGGGGCCCAGGACACACCCAGAGAGGAGGGGACGCAUUUGAGUUCCUCGCUUCACCGUGUGUGAGGAACACCCUUGGGAUGCCAGCCUGUAGUCUAAGAGCAGCUGUCAGGCAGCGGCUGUGGCAUACUACAACCCCAUUAAUGAAAAAGGAAACUAGAUGAACUCUGGUACUGGAGGCAUCUUAAGAUACUACCUCUGAACUCUGAAGGCUGAAAAAAUAAAAGAAUGGCUAAGAAGUCAAGCAUGACUUUGUAGAGACUUGUGCAUCAAACAAGACAAGAAUUAGAGUCUAGAGCUCACCAAGGAGGAGCCUGGGAACCCAACCACACAACCCAAGCUUUCGGUUGAUCUCCAACGGGUUUUAACUCCCUGGACUCCAACCAAGCCAAUCAUCUCAUAGGCUCUAAAAUCACCUCUGAGUUACCCAGGUCCUGUCAAGUUCUGAUUGGAUUAAGGUUACCCAGGUGAUGCCCCUGCCUCCCAAGUGCUGAGAUUAAAGGUGUGUGCUGUCA